CAGCCACCAGGUCAGACAUGCUGAAUCUUUCCUGUGUAGAAUUGGUACUGAUGUGAGCAAAGGAAAAACCUGGUGGUGACUUGAGCAGCUGGACCCUGGGAUAGCUUCCUUAUGGGAAUCCAGAAGACCCAUCAGGCUUCUCAGAUGACUUCCAGCCAUCAUGUGCUUGCAUUUUUCGGGGCCUACACCUGGGUCCUGCGAUGCAGUUUCAUCUGCUUUGUGGAGGUUGCUGGAGCCACAGGCUAACCAGGACAGCUUGGGGAGUGAUUCGGAAAGUCUCUGGGUUCCCUUCCAACAUGUAAAGUUCUGGUCUUAAGACAGCUGGGAAUUUGUCUGUCAUUUAUGCCAACAGUGAACAAUUAAUUUUCCAGCAGUCCCAGGCCUCAGCCUGUCUGUGUUUUCUUCUCUGAUUUGUGGAUGUCUAAAACAGGGAAAGGUAACAUCCAAAUACGGCCAUUGGGGUGUGAUUCAGGGUCAAUUGAAACAACAGAUAAAAGUGGAGUCACAGUAGCUGUGGCAGAGGCCAGAAUGAUCCUUGGCCAUAGCACAGUUCUGUAUGAAACACUGGGGUUCACUUCCGGGGCCUGUUGAACAUUAGGUAAAUAUCUAACUCUGAGCAACAGUCCAACCCCUGGAGAAAACAGCUUUGUGUUGGCUGAAGCCUUGGAACCCCGCCCCUCCUGGUGUCAGGUACUGGCUGGUAGUUGUAGGGGUCUACUUUCUGCCCAGAUCCUACAGUGAUGAUCUUGGCUGCAUGCAGGCUUUGUGGGAAUGGUUCAUUUCCCAUUCAGUUAGCAAGCUAAGCAGCCUGCUGAUGGCAGGACUAGGGAAAGGGAGGCAGGAAUUUCAGUCUCUGCACACAGCACUGAACACAGUGACUCAUUCUCCCCUGUCAUGAGGCAGUGAGGCAGGAUGAGCCUGGCUUUUGAGGUCCAUGGCCUCCCAGCCUUUGCUCUGUCUCAGAUUCUCAUUCUGCUGGGUUGUACCAUGCGGGGUCUGUGCCUCAGCUCAGGCUUUGGAAACAAAUCCCACAGACCAAGGGUUCAAAUAACAGAAAUUACCCUCCUAUGGUUAUAGAGGCUUCAUGUCCAAACUGAAGAGUUCCUGGCAACACCCUGGUGAGGGCAUUCUUCCUGGCUUGCAGGUGGCCCCUCCUCUGUGUCUCCAUGUAGUGUGAAGGGAGGAGGGACAGUGUCUGUCUCUGAAAAGGGCUCAGAUUGCUAUGUGAAAGCCCCCCCUAGGACUGAUUUGGCCCUAGUUACCUCCCAGAGGUCUCACCUCCUAAUCCCAGCAUCUUGGGGUCUGAGCAUGGAAAUUCAGCAGAUGACACAAACAUUCCACCUAUGAUAUCCAGCAGGGAGGACUACAGCUUUGUGUCACAUGUGAUAUGAUGAGCCACAUGUGACCUCUUGGCACUUGAAAUAUAGCCAGUCUGUACUUCAGUCUGCUAUGGUGUGUAAAGUAUACGCCAAAUCCCACAGGUUUAGAAUAAAAACGAAUGAGCAACAUCUAGUAUGUGAUUGGAAACACUUAAAUUAUCUGCUGAGACAAUACUUGGGAUAUCCUAGGUCAAAUAAAACAUAGUAUUAAGACUAACUUUGCCUGCAUGGUGGCCCAGGCUUUUAAUCCCAGCACUUGGGAGGCAGAGGCAGGAGGAUCUCUGUGAGUUCA
This is a long non-coding RNA of Arvicola amphibius (Eurasian water vole), 1671 nucleotides long. RefSeq lists it as uncharacterized. Lineage: Eukaryota; Metazoa; Chordata; Mammalia; Rodentia; Cricetidae. The record is from RefSeq and is a predicted model, not a curated record. The transcript is spliced from 3 exons.